Molecule: ribosomal RNA, 465 nt
Filed under: uncultured bacterium
Lineage: Bacteria
Description: partial 16S ribosomal RNA
Rfam family: Bacterial small subunit ribosomal RNA
Source: RNAcentral
GACGAACGCUGGCGGCGUGCUUAACACAUGCAAGUCGAACGGAAAGGCCCUGCUUGCAGUGUACUCGAGUGGCGAACGGGUGAGUAACACGUGGGUGAUCUGCCCUGCACUUCGGCAUAAGCCUGGUAAACUGGGUCUAAUACCGGACAGGAGCCAUUUUUAGCGGGAUGGUUGGAAAGUUUUUUCGGUGUAGGAUGAGCUCGCGGGCUAUCAGCUUGUUGGUGCGGUAAUGGGCUACCAAGGCGGCGACGGGUAGCCGGCCUGAGAGGGUGGACGGCCAUAUUGGGACUGAGAUACGGCCCAGACUCCUACGGGAGGCAGCAGUGGGGAAGAUUGAACAAUGGGCGCAGGCCUGAUGCAGAGGGGCCGCGUGGGGGAUGACGGCCUUCGGGUUGAAAACUCCUUUCGCUAGGGACGAAGCUUUUUGUGACGGUACCUAGAUAAGAAGCACCGGCUAACUACGUG